RNAcentral lists this antisense RNA (75 nucleotides) under Actinoalloteichus sp. GBA129-24. Its description in RNAcentral is "ASpks TB sRNA". It matches the Rfam family "ASpks TB sRNA". RNAcentral also lists the same sequence under 1 other name. Lineage: Bacteria; Bacillati; Actinomycetota; Actinomycetes; Pseudonocardiales; Pseudonocardiaceae. The record is from RNAcentral.
CUUGACCGAGCCCAGCCACAGCGGCUGCUCGACGGAUCGAUCCCUGCCGUAGGUGGCGAGCAGCGCCUGCGCCUC